RNAcentral lists this ribosomal RNA (429 nucleotides) under uncultured bacterium. RNAcentral's name for it is "partial 16S ribosomal RNA". It matches the Rfam family "Bacterial small subunit ribosomal RNA", at positions 29 to 505 of the family's 1533-position model. The record is from RNAcentral.
AACGAACGCUGGCGGCAGGCUUAACACAUGCAAGUCGAGCGCCCCGCAAGGGGAGCGGCCGACGGGUGAGUAACGCGUGGGAACGUACCUUUUGGUUCGGAACAACUCCGGGAAACUGGAGCUAAUACCGGAUAAGCCCUAACGGGGAAAGAUUUAUCGCCGAAAGAUCGGCCCGCGUCUGAUUAGCUAGUUGGUGAGGUAACGGCUCACCAAGGCGACGAUCAGUAGCUGGUCUGAGAGGAUGAUCAGCCACACUGGGACUGAGACACGGCCCAGACUCCUACGGGAGGCAGCAGUGGGGAAUAUUGGACAAUGGGCGCAAGCCUGAUCCAGCCAUGCCGCGUGAGUGAUGAAGGCCUUAGGGUUGUAAAGCUCUUUUGUCCGGGAAGAUAAUGACUGUACCGGAAGAAUAAGCCCCGGCUAACUUCG